AAAUGAUGAGAUUUUUGAUUUAGAUGACGAGUCUGAUGAGGUUUUUCUCAUUGAAGACACAAACAAUAAAAUAUACCAUUCAUGCUUUUCUGAUA
This 95-nucleotide small nucleolar RNA is filed under the name Hanseniaspora osmophila. The record is from RNAcentral. Lineage: Eukaryota; Fungi; Ascomycota; Saccharomycetes; Saccharomycodales; Saccharomycodaceae.